AUGAAGAGUUUGAUCCUGGCUCAGGAUGAACGCUAGCGGCAGGCUUAACACAUGCAAGUCGAGGGGCAGCGCGUGAGUAGCAAUACUUAUGGCGGCGACCGGCGCAAGGGUGCGUAACGCGUGAGCAACAUGCCCGUCUCAGGAGAAUAACCCGGAGAAAUCCGGACUAAUGCUCCAUGGCUCUGUUGGGAGGCAUCUUCCGGCAGAUAAAGAUACGUCGGAGACGGAUUGGCUCGCGUGACAUUAGCUUGACGGCGGGGUAACGGCCCACCGUGGCUACGAUGUCUAGGGGAACUGAGAGGUUGGUCCCCCACACUGGAACUGAGACACGGUCCAGACUCCUACGGGAGGCAGCAGUGAGGAAUAUUGGACAAUGGGCGGAAGCCUGAUCCAGCCAUGCCGCGUGAAGGAAUACGGUCCUAUGGAUUUUAAACUUCUUUUGUACGUGAGCAAUAAGGGCCACGCGUGGCCCGAUGAGAGUAGCGUACGAAUAAGCAUCGGCUAACUCCGUGCCAGCAGCCGCGGUAAUACGGAGGAUGCGAGCGUUAUCCGGAUUUAUUGGGUUUAAAGGGUGCGUAGGCGGCGAGGUAAGUCAGCGGUGAAAUUCACGGGCCUAACCCGUGCCGUGCCGUUGAUACUGUUUCGCUGGAAUACGGUUGCCGUGGGAGGAAUGUGUAAUGUAGCGGUGAAAUGCAUAGAUAUUACACAGAACACCGAUUGCGAAGGCAUCUCACGAAGCCGCGAUUGACGCUGAUGCACGAAAGUGCGGGGAUCAAACAGGAUUAGAUACCCUGGUAGUCCGCACAGUAAACGAUGAUGACUAGCUGUAGGCGAUAGACAGUCUGUGGCUAAGCGAAAGCGAUAAGUCAUCCACCUGGGGAGUACGACCGCAAGGUUGAAACUCAAAGGAAUUGACGGGGGCCCGCACAAGCGGAGGAACAUGUGGUUUAAUUCGAUGAUACGCGAGGAACCUUACCCGGGCUCGAACGGUGCAGGAAUCGGCCAGAGAUGGCCGAGCUCUUCGGAGCCUGUAUCGAGGUGCUGCAUGGUUGUCGUCAGCUCGUGCCGUGAGGUGUCGGCUUAAGUGCCAUAACGAGCGCAACCCUUGCUGACAGUUGCCAUCAGGUUAUGCUGGGGACUCUGUCGGGACUGCCACCGUAAGGUGUGAGGAAGGGGGGGAUGACGUCAAAUCAGCACGGCCCUUAUGUCCGGGGCGACACACGUGUUACAAUGGUGGGUACAGCGGGAGGCUACGCGGCGACGCGGUGCAAAUCUCGAAAACCCAUCCCAGUUCGGAUCGGAGUCUGCAACUCGACUCCGUGAAGUUGGAUUCGCUAGUAAUCGCGCAUCAGCCAUGGCGCGGUGAAUACGUUCCCGGGCCUUGUACACACCGCCCGUCAAGCCAUGGAAGCCGGGGGUGCCUGAAGUCCGAGACCGCGAGGAUCGGCCUAGGGCAAAACUGGUAACUGGGGCUAAGUCGUAACAAGGUAGCCGUACCGGAAGGUGUGGCUGGAACACCUCCUU
Molecule: ribosomal RNA, 1524 nt
Filed under: human gut metagenome
Description: Bacterial small subunit ribosomal RNA
Rfam family: Bacterial small subunit ribosomal RNA
Source: RNAcentral